Long non-coding RNA from Quercus robur (English oak), 597 nucleotides. RefSeq lists it as uncharacterized. The record is from RefSeq and is a predicted model, not a curated record. NCBI's taxonomy places the organism in Eukaryota, Viridiplantae, Streptophyta, Magnoliopsida, Fagales, Fagaceae. The transcript is spliced from 2 exons.
CCCCUCCCGUUACAAAACCUCCCGUUCUCUCCAUUUUUAAAACGAAUGAAAGACACGUGUUAAGUGAAAGAUCUAAGGGCAGAAACCAAAGCCACCUCAAAACCCAAUUUUUCUCUCUCUCUCAACCAAACCUUUUAAGCAACCAUCUCCCUUGGUAAGCCUAUCGCACCACCGGCAACUUCCCAUGGCCGACCCACUGUCGCCCAUGCACCAAUGCCGUUGCUGUCCACUGCCAAGACUGUUUCAUCACUUUGAAGGAAGGCACCAGGUUAGACCUCAACAAAUUUCUCUCAGAUUGCUUCACCGCUUUCAAGGACAAUCCCCAGUUACCCAGUACCAAAAUUUCUUCAGGAUUUGUUUCCUCCCUCCACUAUUGGUGUAUAGGCGGCAGUGGGUCUGGCAUGGGAAGUUGCCGGUGGUCUGAUGGGCUUACUAAGGGAGAUGGGUUGCUUGAGAGGUUUGGUUGACAGAGAUAAAUUGGGUUUUUAGGUGGCUUCGUUUUCUGCCCUUAGAUCUUUCACUUAACACGUGUCUUUCAUCCAUUUAAAAAAUGGAGAGAACGGGAGGUUUUGUAACGGGAGGGGAGCCGGCCCCGAA